GCCUCUUUGGCGCAGUGGUAACGCGUAGCACUUGUACACUUAUUUCAAUGCUAAGAUCACAGGUUCGAUUCCUGUAGGAGGCA
Molecule: transfer RNA, 83 nt
Organism: Blumeria graminis f. sp. tritici 96224
Lineage: Eukaryota; Fungi; Ascomycota; Leotiomycetes; Helotiales; Erysiphaceae
Rfam family: tRNA
About the family: Transfer RNA (tRNA) molecules are approximately 80 nucleotides in length.
Source: Rfam